UAUAUUCGAGUUUUGAACGGGUUAGUCGCUGGCCUUUCACGAGGCAUGUGCACACCUGGCUCAUCCACUCUCAACCUCUGUGCACUUUAUGUAAGAAACGGUGUAAGCCAGCUUUUGUUAGCUGGUCAUAAGCCUUUCUUAUGUUUUACUACAAACGUUUCAGUUCUAGAAUGUCUUUACUGUGUAUAACACAAUUUAUAUACAACUUUCAGCAACGGAUCUCUUGGCUCUCGCAUCGAUGAAGAACGCAGCGAAAUGCGAUAAGUAAUGUGAAUUGCAGAAUUCAGUGAAUCAUCGAAUCUUUGAACGCACCUUGCACUCCUUGGCAUUCCGAGGAGUAUGCCUGUUUGAGUCUCAUGGAAUUCUCAACCCCUAAAUUUUUGUAAUGAAUGUUUAGUGGGCUUGGACUUGGAGGUUGUGUCGGCUGUCUCAGUCGACUCCUCUGAAAAGCAUUAGCGUGAAUCUUACGGAUCGCCUUCAGUGUGAUAAUUAUCUGCGCUGUGGUGUUGAAGUAUUUAUUAGUUCAUGCUUAUAAUCGUCUCUGACCGGAGACAAUUAUUUGACAAUCUGAGCUCAAAUCAGGUAGGACUACCCGCUGAACUUAAGCAUAUCAAUAAGCGGAGGAAAAGAAACUAACAAGGAUUCCCCUAGUAACUGCGAGUGAAGCGGGAAAAGCUCAAAUUUAAAAUCUGGCGGCUUUGGUCGUCCGAGUUGUAUUCUAGAGAAGUGUUUUCCGCGUUGGACCGUGUAUAAGUCUCUUGGAACAGAGCGUCAUAGAGGGUGAGAAUCCCGUCUUUGACACGGACUACCAAUGCUUUGUGAUGCGCUCUCAAAGAGUCGAGUUGUUUGGGAAUGCAGCUCAAAAUGGGUGGUAAAUUCCAUCUAAAGCUAAAUAUUGGCGAGAGACCGAUAGCGAACAAGUACCGUGAGGGAAAGAUGAAAAGCACUUUGGAAAGAGAGUUAAACAGUACGUGAAAUUGCUGAAAGGGAAACGCUUGAAGUCAGUCGCGUUAGCUAGAACUCAACCAGGCUUGCUUGGCGUACUUUCUAGUUAACGGGCCAGCAUCAGUUUCGACCACAGGAUAAAGGCCAGGGAAAUGUGGCACCUUCGGGUGUGUUAUAGUCUCUGGUCACAUACUGUGAUUGGGACUGAGGAUCGCAGCACGCGCAAGUUGUGCUUAGGAUGCUGGCGUAAUGGCUUUAAACGACCCGUCUUGAAACACGGACCAAGGAGUCUAACAAACCUGCGAGUAUUUGGGUGGUAAACCCGAGUGCGYAAUGAAAGUGAAAGUUGGGAUCCCUGUCGUGGGGAGCACCGACGCCCGGACCAGACCUUCUGUGACGGCUCUGCGGUAGAGCAUGUUUGUUGGGACCCGAAAGAUGGUGAACUAUGCCUGAAUAGGGUGAAGCCAGAGGAAACUCUGGUGGAGGCUCGUAGCGAUUCUGACGUGCAAAUCGAUCGUCAAAUUUGGGUAUAGGGGCGAAAGACUAAUCGAACCAUCUAGUAGCUGGUUCCUGCCGAAGUUUCCCUCAGGAUAGCAGAAACUCAUUUCAGAUUUAUGUGGUAAAGCGAAUGAUUAGAGGCCUUGGGGUUGAAACAACCUUAACCUAUUCUCAAACUUUAAAUAUGUAAGAACAAGCCGUCACUUAAUUGGACCGCUUGGCGAUUGAGAGUUUCUAGUGGGCCAUUUUUGGUAAGCAGAACUGGCGAUGCGGGAUGAACCGAACGUGAGGUUAAGGUGCCGGAAUACACGCUCAUCAGACACCACAAAAGGUGUUAGUUCAUCUAGACAGCAGGACGGUGGCCAUGGAAGUCGGAAUCCGCUAAGGAGUGUGUAACAACUCACCUGCCGAAUGAACUAGCCCUGAAAUUGGAUGGCGCUCAAGCGUGUUACCCAUACCUCACCGUCAGUGUUUAAGUGAAGCACUGACGAGUAGGCAGGCGUGGAGGGUUGUGAAGAAGCCUAGGCAGUAUUGCUG
Molecule: ribosomal RNA, 1980 nt
Filed under: Irpex rosettiformis
Lineage: Eukaryota; Fungi; Basidiomycota; Agaricomycetes; Polyporales; Irpicaceae
Description: eukaryotic LSU rRNA
Rfam family: Eukaryotic large subunit ribosomal RNA (bases 569-1980)
Source: RNAcentral